RNAcentral lists this unclassified non-coding RNA (794 nucleotides) under Hevea brasiliensis (rubber tree). Lineage: Eukaryota; Viridiplantae; Streptophyta; Magnoliopsida; Malpighiales; Euphorbiaceae. The record is from RNAcentral.
AACUGAAUGCAGAGGAAAUGGUCCAUUCAAAGUGUUGGAAAAGAUUAAUGACAAUGCUUACAAAAUCGAUUUGCCAGGUGAUUAUAAUGUUAGUGCAACAUUUAAUGUUUCUGAUUUGUCCCCUUUUGAUGAUGCAGAUUUACUUUCAAGGGCGAAUGCUUUUGAGGAGAGGGAAAAUGAUGCAAGAUCAAAGGCAAAUCCAAUGGACCAUGCACAAGAGGAGGUUCAGCCAGCCCAUUAUGAAGCUUUGAAUGUUUCCCAAUAAUAAACAAUGGGCCAAUCACAAGAUGUAUGCAUAAAACCAUGUUACAUGCCAACUUGUGCCGAAUUCAACUAAGAGCUUAAAAGACCAGCAAACAUAGAUGGAUGAAGGCAUAAACCAGCCCAAGUUAAUUAAUUUAAUUAAGCCUUUUUGGGCCUAAUACAUAAGCAAGUUUGUUGGUGGGCCAAUGGACCAUGACUUGUAAUUUGUUGGUGGGUCAAUAGACAAAGACUUAUAACCUAGUUAGGAUUGUUUUCUUUAAUUACUUAAUUUGCUAAUGCCAAAUUCCCUUGGGAAUUAAUGUCAAUUAGGACUCUUUAAGUUAUGAUUAGUUUUGCAAGUCUCCUCAAUCUUUUAGGACUUUGUUCUGGUUGGUUUGACUUAACCAACUUAGAUAGGAAUUACUUUAUCAUUAGGACUCUUUGUAAAGGGGAAAAUCUGAAUUCUAAACCCCUAUAAAUAUGCUCAGUCGAACUCUAUAAACAUCAGAUUUGAGAAUUAAGUUUUUUCUUUAAUAAAUUUCAAAUUAAAG